UGUUUUGUGGCGGAGUUGGUUAACGCGCCAUGUCUAGCGAACUUGGGGAGACGUGGGUUCAAAUCCCACCAGAACUA
Non-coding RNA from Aedes albopictus (Asian tiger mosquito), 77 nucleotides. The record is from Rfam. NCBI's taxonomy places the organism in Eukaryota, Metazoa, Arthropoda, Insecta, Diptera, Culicidae.